AAAACUCUCAUCAUCUGGAUGUAUAGCAGCUCCCCCAUCAGGCAGAGGACUCUCUUGCUCUUUGUAUUUAUGACCAAUAAAAGCUCACUAACUGAUGUAAUCAAAGACCAUGGACACAGAGGCUGCACUGUAGGUGAAACAGAAGAUUGGACUGUUCCCCUGAAGAGAUGUUAUCACUGUAAGGCUCAGUAAGCAUGAACCUGUGAUCCACUCCUACCCUGCGAGCAGGGAUUUCAACUCCCUUACAGCUAAAAGAGGAAUAAGGAGCAUUAACUUUGUACAAGGGACUACGCCGCCGAGGGGGAACUGGAAAGGAGGAGGGAGAAGGAUGAUAUUCUUAGCACUGACAGUGCUGCUGCACUCAUAAAACCUUUGCUUUAUCUCUCCCAACAAUCAGUCUAAUUAUGUUCAUUGGAGGAGUCCAAUUAAUCCUCCAUUGUCAGCCGGUGGCUAAGUGUUUCUCUACCCCUCACACUGCCACACACAGUCACAGUGGAAUCUGCAAUUAACACUACCCAAAUUUAUUUAGCGCCACUUGCCUCAGCUUCUGACUCCCUCCAAUUAUGCCUAAUCAAUUCCACCAGGAGGUGGCGGGGGAGCGGGGCACUGGGGAGGUCACUGUCAUUUGCUGCGACAAACCCCUGUGCGCCACCCAAAGGCCAGACGUGUCAGUGAUGUUGUCAUGUGGCAAGACAUGCAAGCGAUACUCGCUGAAUAGCUAACUAAUACCCCAGCUGCCCCUGCCCGUGGUGCCUCCUCUUGCUCCAUUGUUGGUGAUAAUUGAAAAACUUGCGAUAUGGACUAAAGGUGGCAGCACUUGGCUUUCAAAACCCUCCGGACAAACAUGCCAGGACCUGGCCUGGCCUGGCCUGGCCUCGUCUCCAGGCUGCUAAUUAAAUGACCACAGAAUAACUGAACUAUAAGGACUGUAACCAGUCACUAGUGCCCGGCUGAUGAAAAUAGUCCUGUCUAUUCUAUUAAAUAAGCUGUUCUAAGUGCACAGUGGAUACAAGUAAUGGCUCCACACGAGCAGGAAAUCAGACAACAUUUUGCAGAAUUACCAAAAGUAUUGCAAGGAGAAAAAAUAUCAAUGGAAAUGUUCACUGUUAAGUGCAUAACUAUAACCUGACCCUGUCAGAUGGUUUGCCAUCUGGAAAAGCGGCAGGCACUUUCAAAAAAUACUUGGCAGGUGAUUGGAUGAACCAUCUGUCAAUCAAGGCAAAAACAUCGCCUUCAGUGCCAUUCUUUGCUCUUCUUCUGAAGAAAUACUGAUAUAACUGAUGCUAUUGCAGCUACGCUAACCUCUUCAGGAGCCGCCAUUGUUGUUUAGACCAAACUGUCGCCUCUCUGUGUCGUGUCACGCUGUGGUCUCACACGCUUAAGCCAUGCCCGUAGUUGCAGAAGCUCCUCACAAGAUGCUGAUUGAUCCGUACUCUGGCUUGCCGGACAUAAAACGCAUUACUUGCAGCCUGCCAAGAUGGAUUUUCGUGUGACAUUUGAUUCCGCAAUUCUUGCGUGAUCUUGUGACAUUGCUAGAAUCCAGGGGCCGUGCAAGAUUAGCAUGACUAUGUUUGGAGAAUAAAUCGUAUAAAAUUGGAAAUCACCUAGCAUUUGGUUCAAUCAAAAAACGUUUUGAAGGCACGCCUUGUGCUCUUCUUGGUGGCUAAAGAUACAUUUCUCUUUACAACACCUGCUACAUUAAAAGUUCUCACUGUUUCAACCUAAAUACUGUGCCUGUUGCAGAAAAUAUACUGUACACACUUUGUUACCCAGCAAAAUAUAUAACCAUAAAGCCAAAUGUCGUAUUGCACUGAACUCCAACCUUGCACUUUACUGCAGCCUUAAAAUGACCAAAGUUGAACUGUCUAAAAUGUAGUAUUUGUUGCAAAGCUGUAAUAUUGGACUGGAUCUGACAGUUAUCCUGUGGGGUAGAUACAUGACAUGUGCUUCUGCAUAUUUGCAGCAUGUGGUGUAAUAUAUACAGUAUCUGUAUGCGCAUGUGAAAUCUGUAUGUAUGUAUACAGGCAUGUGCACAAGCAUAUGCAUAUCUUUGCAGUAUGUCAAUGUAUGAAAUUUAACAUGCUCACUCAUGCUAACAUUUCCACAUUGUGUGUAUGCGUAAAUUCACUGCCCAUGGCUCACAGGCAGGUUGGCCUCCCAGCGCUGUCAAACCAAAGCCCCGCAGUGGGCACAGACACUAGAAAGGUCUGAAGGGCACAGGCACAUGGAGGGACUGUGCAGCCAAGUGUGCGUUCCUCUGCAAGGCUCACUGCAUCUGACUGUGAGCGGAAAAAAAAUCAGAACAAGGGUGUGUGCCUGCGUGUUUUUUGUGUGUGUGUGUGCGCGCUUCUAGCUGACAAAUAAAAGAAAAAAAA
This is a long non-coding RNA of Sebastes umbrosus (honeycomb rockfish), 2375 nucleotides long. RefSeq lists it as uncharacterized. NCBI's taxonomy places the organism in Eukaryota, Metazoa, Chordata, Actinopteri, Perciformes, Sebastidae. The transcript is spliced from 2 exons. The record is from RefSeq and is a predicted model, not a curated record.